GAGUUUGAUCAUGGCUCAGAUUGAACGCUGGCGGCAUGCCUUACACAUGCAAGUCGAACGGCAGCACGGGAGCAAUCCUGGUGGCGAGUGGCGAACGGGUGAGUAAUAUAUCGGAACGUGCCCAGUCGUGGGGGAUAACGUAGCGAAAGCUACGCUAAUACCGCAUACGAUCUACGGAUGAAAGCGGGGGACUCGCAAGAGCCUCGCGCGAUUGGAGCGGCCGAUCUCAGAUUAGGUUGUUGGUGAGGUAAAAGCUCACCAAGCCUGCGAUCUGUAGCUGGUCUGAGAGGACGACCAGCCA
Molecule: ribosomal RNA, 301 nt
Filed under: uncultured bacterium
Lineage: Bacteria
Description: bacterial SSU rRNA
Rfam family: Bacterial small subunit ribosomal RNA
Source: RNAcentral